Molecule: non-coding RNA, 23 nt
Filed under: Arabidopsis thaliana (thale cress)
Lineage: Eukaryota; Viridiplantae; Streptophyta; Magnoliopsida; Brassicales; Brassicaceae
Source: RNAcentral
AAUCCUACAAUUUUGGUCUCAUG